RNAcentral lists this ribosomal RNA (447 nucleotides) under uncultured Enterobacter sp. RNAcentral describes it as "bacterial SSU rRNA". It matches the Rfam family "Bacterial small subunit ribosomal RNA", at positions 49 to 485 of the family's 1533-position model. The record is from RNAcentral. Lineage: Bacteria; Pseudomonadati; Pseudomonadota; Gammaproteobacteria; Enterobacterales; Enterobacteriaceae.
UAACACAUGCAAGUCGAGCGGCAGCGGAAAGUAGCUUGCUACCUUGCCGGCGAGCGGCGGACGGGUGAGUAAUGUCUGGGAAACUGCCUGAUGGAGGGGGAUAACUACUGGAAACGGUAGCUAAUACCGCAUAACGUCGCAAGACCAAAGAGGGGGACCUUCGGGCCUCUUGCCAUCAGAUGUGCCCAGAUGGGAUUAGCUAGUAGGUGGGGUAACGGCUCACCUAGGCGACGAUCCCUAGCUGGUCUGAGAGGAUGACCAGCCACACUGGAACUGAGACACGGUCCAGACUCCUACGGGAGGCAGCAGUGGGGAAUAUUGCACAAUGGGCGCAAGCCUGAUGCAGCCAUGCCGCGUGUAUGAAGAAGGCCUUCGGGUUGUAAAGUACUUUCAGCGAGGAGGAAGGUGUUGAGGUUAAUAACCUCAGCAAUUGACGUUACUCGCAGA